UACGGAGGGGGCGAGCGUUAUUCGGAAUUAUUGGGCGUAAAGGGCGCGUAGGCGGCCUUGCAAGUCAAAGGUGAAAUCCCUCGGCUCAACUGAGGAACUGCCUUUGAAACUGCACGGCUUGAGGCCGGGAGGGGGUAGCGGAAUUCCCAGUGUAGCGGUGAAAUGCGUAGAUAUUGGGAGGAACACCAGUGGCGAAGGCGGCUACCUGGACCGGUUCUGACGCUGAUGCGCGAAAGCGUGGGUAGCAAACAGG
RNAcentral lists this ribosomal RNA (253 nucleotides) under uncultured bacterium. Its description in RNAcentral is "partial 16S ribosomal RNA". It matches the Rfam family "Bacterial small subunit ribosomal RNA", at positions 524 to 776 of the family's 1533-position model. The record is from RNAcentral.